RNAcentral lists this ribosomal RNA (428 nucleotides) under uncultured archaeon. RNAcentral describes it as "bacterial SSU rRNA". It matches the Rfam family "Archaeal small subunit ribosomal RNA", at positions 474 to 903 of the family's 1478-position model. The record is from RNAcentral.
UACCAGCUCUCCGAGUGGUGUGGAUGUUUAUUGGGCCUAAAGCAUCCGUAGCUGGCUGGGCAAGUCCCCUGUUAAAUCCACCGAUUCAAUCGUUGGAGUGCGGGGGAUACUGCUCGGCUAGGGGACGGGAGAGGCCGACGGUAUUUUCGGGGUAGGGGUGAAAUCCUAUAAUCCCGGAAAGACCACCAGUGGCGAAGGCUGUCGGCUAGAACGCGCCCGACGGUGAGGGAUGAAAGCUGGGGGAGCGAACCGGAUUAGAUACCCGGGUAGUCCCAGCUGUAAACGAUGCAGGCUAGGUGUUUGGGCGGCCACGUGCCGCUCUAGUGCCGCAGGGAAGUUGUUAAGCCUGCCGCCUGGGGAGUACGGCCGCAAGGCUGAAACUUAAAGGAAUUGGCGGGGAGCACCACAAGGGGUGAAGCUUGCGGUUU